RNAcentral lists this ribosomal RNA (253 nucleotides) under uncultured bacterium. Its description in RNAcentral is "partial 16S ribosomal RNA". It matches the Rfam family "Bacterial small subunit ribosomal RNA", at positions 524 to 776 of the family's 1533-position model. The record is from RNAcentral.
UACGUAGGGACCAAGCGUUGUUCGGAUUUACUGGGCGUAAAGGGCGCGUAGGCGGCGCGGUAAGUCACUUGUGAAAUCUCUGAGCUUAACUCAGAACGGCCAAGUGAUACUGCAGUGCUAGAGUGUGGAAGGGGCAAUCGGAAUUCUUGGUGUAGCGGUGAAAUGCGUAGAUAUCAAGAAGAACACCCGUGGCGAAAGCGGCUCUCUGGAACGGUACUGACGCUGAGACGCGAAAGCGUGGGGAGCGAACAGG